UAGUCCCCCAAGUCUUCAGUCAAGAGAGUCUUUUGGCUGGAGACUUGAAAUUCAGUCCAUGUGUGGGCCGAAGUAACUAAAUGUCGUCUAGAACUGAUGCUCGAUAUGAGGCGGUACCCAAUCUGAAAUGAUGCUCAACUAGAAGUAGCACAUGUUGUGAGGCCACUUUGCUUGUAGCUUAUGUUGCCUUGGUUGGCUUGGCUUGUGGCGUUUGAAGGUGAGGGAGUCCCUUUUAUAAAAUAAGGGCUCGCUCCUCAAUACAUAAAUGAUGGGCUAGAGUUGAUGCUCACGGCGAGGCGGUUGCUCAGCAGGCGGCGAUGCUCUCUAAUGAUGGUGAGGGAGUCUUUUUUAUAAACUAAGGGCUCGCUCCUCGAUACAUAAAUUUAGGAGUGAUGCUCGUGGCGAGGUGGUUGCUCAGCUGGCGGCAAUACUCUCUAAUGGUGGUGAGGGAGUCCCUUUUAUAAAAUAAGGGCUCGCUCCUCAAUACAUAAGUGAUGGGCUAAGUCCCCCAAGUAUUUUUCAUGAGGCCCAGUUGAGGCCCAAUAUAUGGUACAUAAUGUAGUCCCCCAAGUCUUCGGUCAAUAGAGUCUGUUGGCUGGAGACUUCAAAUUGAAUCCAUGUAUGGGCCGAAGUGGCGGUUGUUCGGAGGCGGUAUUUGUAUACCCUGCACUGAAGCUUUGUAGGUGAAGCUUUGCAAGUGAAGCUUUGAAGCUAGAGCUCUGUAAAUGAAGCUUUUGAAGCUGAUUGACAUGAGUGAUGCUCAUGAAUGUUUAUGUUGAUUGACAUGAGUGAUGCUCAUGGAUGUU
RNAcentral lists this long non-coding RNA (806 nucleotides) under Malus domestica (apple). Its description in RNAcentral is "long non-coding RNA (MDOM_LNC009845)". The record is from RNAcentral. Lineage: Eukaryota; Viridiplantae; Streptophyta; Magnoliopsida; Rosales; Rosaceae.